AUUGAACGCUGGCGGCAUGCUUUACACAUGCAAGUCGAACGGUAACAGGCCUUCGGGUGCUGACGAGUGGCGAACGGGGGAGUAAUGCAUCGGAACGUACCCAGAGGUGGGGGAUAACGCAGCGAAAGCUGUGCUAAUACCGCAUGUGAUCUGAGGAUGAAAGCGGGGGACCGAGCAGCAAUGUUUGGCCUCGCGCCUUUGGAGCGGCCGAUGUCGGAUUAGCUAGUUGGUGGGGUAAAGGCCUACCAAGGCGACGAUCCGUAGCUGGUCUGAGAGGACGACCAGCCACACUGGGACUGAGACACGGCCCAGACUCCUACGGGAGGCAGCAGUGGGGAAUUUUGGACAAUGGGCGCAAGCCUGAUCCAGCAAUGCCGCGUGCGGGAAGAAGGCCUUCGGGUUGUAAACCGCUUUUGGCAGGAACGAAACGGUGUCCGCUAAUACCGGGCGCUAAUGACGGUACCUGCAGAAUAAGCACCGGCUAACUACGUG
RNAcentral lists this ribosomal RNA (492 nucleotides) under uncultured bacterium. RNAcentral describes it as "partial 16S ribosomal RNA". It matches the Rfam family "Bacterial small subunit ribosomal RNA", at positions 29 to 507 of the family's 1533-position model. The record is from RNAcentral.